AGUGGCGGACGGGUGAGUAACGCGUAGGAAUCUACCUGAUAGUGGGGGAUAGCCCGAAGAAAUUCGGAUUAAUACCGCAUAAUCUAUUCGUAGUAAAGUGGGGGACUUUCGAGCCUCACGCUAUCAGAUGAGCCUGCGUAAGAUAGCUAGUUGGUAGGGUAAAAGCCUACCAAGGCUACGAUCUUUAGCUGGUCUGAGAGGAUGAUCAGCCACAUCGGGACUGAGACACGGCCCGAACUCCUACGGGAGGCAGCAGUGGGGAAUAUUGGACAAUGGGGGCAACCCUGAUCCAGCAAUACCGCGUGUGUGAAGAAGGCCUGAGGGUUGUAAAGCACUUUCAAUUGUGAAGAAAAGCUAGUGGUUAAUAGCCAUUAGCCUUGACGUUAACUUUAGAAGAAGCACCGGCUAACUCCGUGCCAGCAGCCGCGGUAAUACGGAGGGUGCAAGCGUUAAUCGGAAUUACUGGGCGUAAAGCGUGCGUAGGCGGUUUAUUAAGUCAGAUGUGAAAGCCCCGGGCUUAACCUGGGAACUGCAUUUGAAACUGGUCAACUAGAGUAUGGUAGAGGAAAGUGGAAUUUCUGGUGUAGCGGUGAAAUGCGUAGAUAUCAGAAGGAACAUCAAUGGCGAAGGCAACUUUCUGGACCAAUACUGACGCUGAGGUACGAAAGCGUGGGUAGCAAACAGGAUUAGAUACCCUGGUAGUCCACGCCGA
RNAcentral lists this ribosomal RNA (712 nucleotides) under uncultured bacterium. Its description in RNAcentral is "bacterial SSU rRNA". It matches the Rfam family "Bacterial small subunit ribosomal RNA", at positions 94 to 803 of the family's 1533-position model. The record is from RNAcentral.